RNAcentral lists this ribosomal RNA (611 nucleotides) under uncultured Roseobacter NAC1-1. RNAcentral's name for it is "bacterial SSU rRNA". It matches the Rfam family "Bacterial small subunit ribosomal RNA", at positions 54 to 713 of the family's 1533-position model. The record is from RNAcentral. Lineage: Bacteria; Pseudomonadati; Pseudomonadota; Alphaproteobacteria; Rhodobacterales; Roseobacteraceae.
CAUGCANGUCGAGCGCGCCUUCGGGCGAGCGGCGGACGGGUUAGUAACGCGUGGGAACGUGCCCAGAUCUACGGAAUAGCCACUGGAAACGGUGAGUAAUACCGUAUACGCCCUUCGGGGGAAAGAUUUAUCGGAUUUGGAUCGGCCCGCGUUAGAUUAGGUAGUUGGUGGGGUAACGGCCUACCAAGCCUACGAUCUAUAGCUGGUUUUAGAGGAUGAUCAGCAACACUGGGACUGAGACACGGCCCAGACUCCUACGGGAGGCAGCAGUGGGGAAUCUUGGACAAUGGGGGCAACCCUGAUCCAGCCAUGCCGCGUGAGUGAAGAAGGCCCUAGGGUCGUAAAACUCUUUCGCCUGUGAUGAUAAUGACAGUAGCAGGUAAAGAAACCCCGGCUAACUCCGUGCCAGCAGCCGCGGUAAUACGGAGGGGGUUAGCCGUUGUUCGGAAUUACUGGGCGUAAAGCGCACGUAGGCGGAUUAGAAAGUUAGAGGUGAAAUCCCGGGGCUCAACCCCGGAACUGCUUUAAAACUCUAGUCUAGAGUUCGAGAGAGGUGAGUGGAAUUUCCGAGUGUAGAGGUGAAAUUCGUAGAUUUUCGGAGGAACACCAGU